GGUUAAGCGACUAAGCGUACACGGUGGAUGCCCUGGCAGUCAGAGGCGAUGAAGGACGUGCUAAUCUGCGAUAAGCGUCGGUAAGGUGAUAUGAACCGUUAUAACCGGCGAUUUCCGAAUGGGGAAACCCAGUGUGUUUCGACACACUAUCAUUAACUGAAUCCAUAGGUUAAUGAGGCGAACCGGGGGAACUGAAACAUCUAAGUACCCCGAGGAAAAGAAAUCAACCGAGAUUCCCCCAGUAGCGGCGAGCGAACGGGGAGCAGCCCAGAGCCUGAAUCAGUAUGUGUGUUAGUGGAAGCGUCUGGAAAGGCGCGCGAUACAGGGUGACAGCCCCGUACACAAAAAUGCACAUGCUGUGAGCUCGAUGAGUAGGGCGGGACACGUGGUAUCCUGUCUGAAUAUGGGGGGACCAUCCUCCAAGGCUAAAUACUCCUGACUGACCGAUAGUGAACCAGUACCGUGAGGGAAAGGCGAAAAGAACCCCGGCGAGGGGAGUGAAAAAGAACCUGAAACCGUGUACGUACAAGCAGUGGGAGCACGCUUAGGCGUGUGACUGCGUACCUUUUGUAUAAUGGGUCAGCGACUUAUAUUCUGUAGCAAGGUUAACCGAAUAGGGGAGCCGAAGGGAAACCGAGUCUUAACUGGGCGUUAAGUUGCA
This 661-nucleotide ribosomal RNA is filed under the name Escherichia coli. RNAcentral describes it as "partial 23S ribosomal RNA". It matches the Rfam family "Bacterial large subunit ribosomal RNA", at positions 1 to 704 of the family's 2925-position model. The record is from RNAcentral. Lineage: Bacteria; Pseudomonadati; Pseudomonadota; Gammaproteobacteria; Enterobacterales; Enterobacteriaceae.